This 72-nucleotide transfer RNA is filed under the name Dipodomys ordii (Ord's kangaroo rat). It matches the Rfam family "tRNA". From Rfam's summary of the family: Transfer RNA (tRNA) molecules are approximately 80 nucleotides in length. Their secondary structure includes four short double-helical elements and three loops (D, anti-codon, and T loops). Further hydrogen bonds mediate the characteristic L-shaped molecular structure. tRNAs have two regions of fundamental functional importance: the anti-codon, which is responsible for specific mRNA codon recognition, and the 3' end, to which the tRNAs corresponding amino acid is attached (by aminoacyl-tRNA synthetases). tRNAs cope with the degeneracy of the genetic code in two manners: having more than one tRNA (with a specific anti-codon) for a particular amino acid; and 'wobble' base-pairing, i.e. permitting non-standard base-pairing at the 3rd anti-codon position. The record is from Rfam by way of RNAcentral. Lineage: Eukaryota; Metazoa; Chordata; Mammalia; Rodentia; Heteromyidae.
GAAGGCAUGCUUGGGUGGUAAAGUACUUGCCUGGUAAACAGGAGGCCCUGAGUUCAAGCCCCAGCGCUCUCA